RNAcentral lists this ribosomal RNA (473 nucleotides) under uncultured bacterium. RNAcentral describes it as "SSU rRNA". It matches the Rfam family "Bacterial small subunit ribosomal RNA", at positions 26 to 518 of the family's 1533-position model. The record is from RNAcentral.
AGGACGAACGCUGGCGGCGUGCUUAACACAUGCAAGUCGAGCGGAAAGGCCCUUCGGGGUACUCGAGCGGCGAACGGGUGAGUAACACGUGAGCAACCUGCCCUUAGCUUCGGGAUAGCUCCGGGAAACCGGAAUUAAUACCGGAUAUGACUAUGGCCGACAUCAGCCAUGGUGGAAAGUUUUUCGGCUAGGGGUGGACUCGCGGCCUAUCAGCUAGUUGGUGAGGUAACGGCUCACCAAGGCGACGACGGGUAGCCGGCCUGAGAGGGCGACCGGCCACACUGGGACUGAGACACGGCCCAGACUCCUACGGGAGGCAGCAGUGGGGAAUAUUGCGCAAUGGGCGAAAGCCUGACGCAGCGACGCCGCGUGGGGGAUGAAUGCCUUCGGGUUGUAAACCCCUUUCAGCAGGGACGAAGCGAAAGUGACGGUACCUGCAGAGAAGCGCCGGCUAACUACGUGCCAGCAGCCGC